RNAcentral lists this long non-coding RNA (2706 nucleotides) under Trifolium pratense (red clover). RNAcentral's name for it is "long non-coding RNA (TPRA_LNC012169)". Lineage: Eukaryota; Viridiplantae; Streptophyta; Magnoliopsida; Fabales; Fabaceae. The record is from RNAcentral.
ACGUGUAUAUGAAUUAGAGAAUCGAAGUACGAGUUUACAAACAAAACCACUUUGUAGCUACACAUACAUUGUAGGAUGAUAAUAUAUAAGAACAAAAUAUAUUCAAGAUUCUCCAAUCCUAAAUAACAAAAACUUUAGUAAAUGAAUGAGAGAUGUUUCCCUGACCCAUUGGUAGCCGUCAAGGAAGAAGAGGUUCUUCUGUCCUCCUGUCUGAAAUAUUUCCAGACACUGUGGAAAGCCUGAAUUGAAAGAAAAAAAAAAAUAUUUGCAAAAUUGUUAAGAUUUGCAUGGUUUGGACUUUGGAGAAAAUAGAGAAAACUUUAGAAAGUCAUAAGAAUUCAUAUUUGAUUAAAAAUAGUGAAAAGUGACUCGAGCAAUUUGGAGGUUAACCAAGUAACCACCUAAUAGUAAUAACAAACUCUAACAAACUACUGGAAGCUAAUAGCUAAUCACCAUUAUUCUUAACAAAAAUCAAUCAUUAAUUAUUUUUGUAAAAUGGAUAAUGAAAUUGAAGACUUACUUGAUUGUGGUGAGGAAUGGUAUNNNNNNNNNNNNNNNNNNNNNNNNNNNNNNNNNNNNNNNNNNNNNNCAAACUCCAUUGCAAGAAAAUUUGAUGAACCUGGUGAUUGAUGUAUCACUCCAAUUGAAAUUAAACUUUCUGGAUCUCAUACAAAGUUGUUUAUGAGGUUCAACACGAUCAGGCAGAUGCCAUGUUCCUUGUUUAUCUAGUUUAGAACACUUACGGAUUUCCAAUGGAAAAUCGGUAUUGUUGUAGAUAACUGUUGUAAGCAUAGCGCCCAUGUUGUGGGAUCACAUGUGAUGUGCAGUGAAGGUUUUUCUUCUUUUUCUGUUUCAAAAGAAAAGUUAAGGUUUUGCAAAAAAUCAAAACAAGUUAGUAAAUGAGAAAGAGAAUCAAGUGUUGAAAUAGAGGUGAGAGAUGAGAUCAUGAGACAGAGUUGGGUACGUACUACGGCUUUGUUUCUUUUGGUAGAGAAACUUUCUCAAUAUUUUAUUAGUGAUAAACUUUCUGCUAGCAUAUGAUCCUAGCUAGCUAAAUGAUAUUUUUAGAAUUUUUUUUUUAAUUUUGGUUUUGGUUGAGGAAUUAUGGGAGGGUGUGAAGGGGUAUAUAUAUGUGUCAAAAGUGGAUGUUAGGCUAAAAUGUUUAGGUUGUUGGCAACAUUAUAAAUAAUUAAUAGUUUGUAAUGUAGUGGCGUCAGNNNNNUUUACUAGUACUAGUAUUAUAUAUACAUAUCUAAUUAUUGCUUAAAAAAAAGGAAAAAAACACUAUUGGGCCUUGCCUCUUAUGGUAAAAAAAGCCUUUUAACAAUAUAAACCCUUAUUUUGUCUUCUUCUCUAAUUGCAAAACCUAUUUGUUCUCCACUUCUCCCAAUCUCUCGCAAAACCAACACCAAAACUGUGUCUCUUCUUCUUGAAGCUUGGACCACUUAUUUUGUUUUCUUCUCUAAUUCCAUUCAUCUCCAAUUUCUUGGUAAGUGGUAGAUUUAAAUUUAAUACUCUUUAUAGCUCUCUUUUCUUUGAUGAAUAUUGUAGUGUUAUCUUGGUUUUGAGGGUUGUCAUUAAGUUGUUACUUUAUUUUUCUAUCUACAUCUUUUAUUUUUAGAAUUGACUUUAUUUUUCCAUAAGAUUGUGUUAGUCUUUGUUAUGUUGGGACUUGUUUCUUUAAGUGUUUGAGUUUGUCUUAUGCUUGUGUUUUACCUUUGUCUAAAUUUGUUUGAAAAAUUGUGUUUUUGUUAGGCUGAAAAAUGGUUAGAGAAAAAACAAUUGACUCAUUUUUUAAGAGGAAAAAUAGAGAAAAUGUUGAAAGUGUUGAUAAAGAUGAACAACGAAUAGAGCCAUCUAGUGUGCAACUUGCCCAACCACCUCCUUGCAAAGCUCCAAGGAUCGAACAAGAAAGAAUUAAUAUUGAUAUUGACUAUAUUUGUAUGACUAUAUUGGCUUUGAAGAAUACUUAUAUGUUCUUAAAUUUCUUAGAUAUGUAGUAGUGCAUUGAAAAAUUUACUUUUUCUAUAUACUAAAUUAUACUUUUGAGACUCGGUCCCCCCUAUGUUUAAAUCCUGGCUCCGCCCCUGCAUGUGAUCAUCAAUAAGGAUGAUAAUAUAUAAGAACAAAAUAUAUUCAAGAUUCUCCAAUCCUAAAUAACAAAAACUUUAGUAAAUGAAUGAGAGAUGUUUCCCUGACCCAUUGGUAGCCGUUAAGGAAGAAGAGGUUCUUCUGUCCUCCUGUCUGAAAUAUUUCCAGACACUGGGGAAUGCCUGAAUUGAAAGGAAAAAAAAAUUAUUUACAAAAUUGUUAAGAUUUGCAUGGUUUGGAGAAAAUGGAGAAAACUUUAGAAAAUCUUCAAGAUAGUAAAAAUCAUAAGGAUUCAUAUUUGAUAAAAAGAUAGUGAAAAUAAUACAAUAGUGACUCUUCAGUCUUAUACAGAGCAAUUUGGAGGUUAACCAUGGAACCACCUAAUAACAAACUCUAACAAACUACUAAUAUAAACUCUAACUAACUAAUGGAAGCUAAUAGCUAAUCACCAUUAUUCUUAACAAAAAUCAAUCAUUCAUUAUUUUUGUAAAAUGGAUAAUGAAAUUGAAGACUUACUUGAUUGUGGUGAGGAAUGGUAUUUUCUGAUCAUCCAUUUCGACAUUGAAUCUUCUGUUGUUUAUGAAAUCUUGUGGAGUUAAAAUGGCAAAACAAACU